Long non-coding RNA from Mus musculus (house mouse), 1189 nucleotides. RefSeq annotates it as predicted gene, 41530. Lineage: Eukaryota; Metazoa; Chordata; Mammalia; Rodentia; Muridae. The transcript is spliced from 2 exons. The record is from RefSeq and is a predicted model, not a curated record.
GGUCCUCUGCCCAGCCCCAUUCAGAAAUGGCAGAGCCCUGUUUCUGCAGGGGAGGGGCAUGUGGGCACAGAAACCUUCAGGGAAGUGGAACAUGGUUCCUGAGAACUCAGUGGGCCCAGAGCACAACUAGUGCUGUGACAAGGUCUGUUGGGCUAGAUGCCUGGCUAACAGUGCAGAGCACCCUGGAUGGGUCUGAAGGCAGAGAUGAUGUCUGGAAGGCCCAGUUUCCUCUGUGGUAGGUGUUCAGUUAUGGACCACUGUGUUUGUUACAGAAGGCAGGGAAGUGAGCCUAGGUGGCCUGACUCUGGCAGGAAAUGGAGCUCUCAGCCAGAAGUCUCACUGUGCACCUCCACAUGCUGUUUGUUUCAACUUGAUCCAAUUGUUCAGCAUGAGAAAACAUCCCGUAGGGUGUGUUGGGGGGGGGGGUAGUGGAAUCCUGCAGGAUAUUGUUCUCUGAGUCCCACCCGUUGAGCAGCAACAAUGGUAUACUGUCCUUUUUUCUGCUGAACAUUGCUAUCAGGUUUCAGUUUGGUCCUUUUGUUUUCUAGGGUAGAGUUAAAAACAACCCUGGUGCGCACACACCGUGGCACAAAUCAGAAGCAACACAGCACCUUUCAUCCGUCGCCCAAUGUCGUGAUUCCACGAUAUCAUGAAAACCUCACGUUUGUCCUUGCUCCUGACCUACAGCUCCUGAGGGCCCUAGAAUCUCCCAAGUGGAGGUUGGAUCUUUUUGCGUACAGACUUUCCCUGAGCUCCUCCUCAGUCACUGCAAGGUCUUUGCUUGGCUCACCCAGAAGACACCCAAUUGUCUACAAUGCUGGACCUCUGUGGGAGCUUGCCUGCAGUUUCCCAUGUACGUCUCUUCCAGACAGCACAUCAAAACAUCUCCUCCUGUCUUAAGAAGAUAUCAGAGUCCUCUACGGCCUGACAAGACCUGUGGAAAGUUGAGCUCCGUCGCAGAAGGUCUGAGCCUGGUUCACACUGAGCUUGGAAGGUGGCAAGCCAGCCAGAGGUCAGAUGCGCACACUUGACUAAGGAUGUCAUCCUUAUACAGUAAUGGCCACAACCUCUGGGAUAGGCUGCUCACAGAGAAUGCUAAGGGUCCUGAAGAUUGUUUGAGAACACAACUGGUGGCUCACACUCACAUUAGGGGGAGCAGAAACUUGUACCAAUUAUAUUAUUAUUAUUA